RNAcentral lists this unclassified non-coding RNA (302 nucleotides) under Hevea brasiliensis (rubber tree). Lineage: Eukaryota; Viridiplantae; Streptophyta; Magnoliopsida; Malpighiales; Euphorbiaceae. The record is from RNAcentral.
GUUGAAGUUCGGUUCCAAUCCUCAUUUGAUCUGCGUUCUUCCUUACUCCAAGGAAAGUCGAUGUUGGAUUGGUGGGUAGAAAUCAAUGAUUUUCUGUCUAAUUAUCCUCGGGAAGCAGACAUGGUUCCACAGUUGGUUUUUCUCAUGUGGCAAAUUUGGAAGAAUAAAAAUCAAAGAAUCUUUCAAAACCUGGUUAAUUCCCAUCAUCAGAUUAUCUCAUUGGCCUUCAAGCACUUUGAUGAAUUCAUUUCAUCUCAAGAGGUUAAUGAAGGCCAUAGGGUCUCAUCCAUGCAGGCUCAGAC